GAUGAACGCUGGCGGCGUGCAUAACACAUUCAAGUCGAACGGUGAAGUCCUUCGGGACGGAACAGUGGCGGACGGGUGAGUAACGCGUGAGCAACCUGCCCUUGUGUGGGGGAUACCGUCUGGAAACGGACGUUAAUACCGCAUAACGUAUACUGACUGCAUGGUCGGUAUACCAAAGAUUUAUUGCGCAAGGAUGGGCUCGCGUCCCAUUAGAUAGUUGGUGAGGUAAUGGCUCACCAAGGCGACGAUCGGUAGCCGGACUGAGAGGUUGAACGGCCACAUUGGGACUGAGACACGGCCCAGACUCCUACGGGAGGCAGCAGUGGGGAAUAUUGCACAAUGGGCGCAAGCCUGAUGCAGCAACGCCGCGUGAGGGAAGAAGGUUUUCGGAUUGGUAAACCUCUGUCCCCUGUGACGAAUAAAUGACGGUAGCAGGGGAGGAAGCCGACGGCUGACUACGUG
Molecule: ribosomal RNA, 462 nt
Filed under: uncultured bacterium
Lineage: Bacteria
Description: bacterial SSU rRNA
Rfam family: Bacterial small subunit ribosomal RNA
Source: RNAcentral